AUGGGCUAGAAAAUGGCUGCUGUGUGGCUGGGUCUCCUUGGGGGUCCUGUUUUAUACCAGUGAGCCUGACUUUGCCCUAGAUUAAGAAAAGGCAACCUUUUAGGGGUCCGCCUUAUGCAGUAACAGGUGUGAGCAUUCUUACAGGAACCUGAUGGUCAUGUAUGAUACUGCAUACAGGU
Laticauda laticaudata (blue-ringed sea krait) is the source of this 179-nucleotide non-coding RNA. NCBI's taxonomy places the organism in Eukaryota, Metazoa, Chordata, Lepidosauria, Squamata, Elapidae. The record is from Ensembl.